UAGGGAAUCUUCGGCAAUGGACGGAAGUCUGACCGAGCAACGCCGCGUGAGUGAAGAAGGUUUUCGGAUCGUAAAGCUCUGUUGUUAUAGAAGAACGUUGGUAGGAGUGGAAAAUCUACCAAGUGACGGUAACUAACCAGAAAGGGACGGCUAACUACGUGCCAGCAGCCGCGGUAAUACGUAGGUCCCGAGCGUUGUCCGGAUUUAUUGGGCGUAAAGCGAGCGCAGGCGGUUCUUUAAGUCUGAAGUUAAAGGCAGUGGCUUAACCAGUGUACGCUUUGGAAACUGGAGGACUUGAGUGCAGAAGGGGAGAGUGGUAUUCCAUGUGUAGCGGUGAAAUGCGUAGAUAUAUGGAGGAACACCGGUGGCGAAAGCGGCUCUCUGGUCUGUAACUGACGCUGAGGCUCGAAAGCGUGGGGAGCAAACAGG
This 429-nucleotide ribosomal RNA is filed under the name Bacillota bacterium. Its description in RNAcentral is "Firmicutes bacterium partial 16S ribosomal RNA". It matches the Rfam family "Bacterial small subunit ribosomal RNA", at positions 355 to 776 of the family's 1533-position model. Lineage: Bacteria; Bacillati; Bacillota. The record is from RNAcentral.